RNAcentral lists this signal recognition particle RNA (300 nucleotides) under Rhinolophus ferrumequinum (greater horseshoe bat). RNAcentral describes it as "Metazoan signal recognition particle RNA (ENSRFEG00010008802.1)". It matches the Rfam family "Metazoan signal recognition particle RNA". From Rfam's summary of the family: The signal recognition particle (SRP) is a universally conserved ribonucleoprotein. It is involved in the co-translational targeting of proteins to membranes. Lineage: Eukaryota; Metazoa; Chordata; Mammalia; Chiroptera; Rhinolophidae. The record is from Rfam by way of RNAcentral.
GCCGGGCGCGGUGGCGCGCGCCUGUAGUCCCAGCUACUCGGGAGGCUGAGGCUGGAGGAUCGCUUGAGCCCAGGAGUUCUGGGCUGUAGUGCGCUAUGCCGAUCGGGUGUCCGCACUAAGUUCGGCAUCAAUAUGGUGACCUCCCGGGAGCGGGGGACCACCAGGUUGCCUAAGGAGGGGUGAACCGGCCCAGGUCGGAGACGGAGCAGGUCAAAGCUCCCGUGCUGAUCAGUAGUGGGAUCGCGCCUGUGAAUAGCCACUGCACUCCAGCCUGGGCAACAUAGCGAGACCCCGUCUCUU